GACGAACGCUGGCGGCGUGCUUAACACAUGCAAGUCGAGCGGUAAGGCCCUUUCGGGGGUACACGAGCGGCGAACGGGUGAGUAACACGUGGGUGACCUGCCCUCAGCUCUGGGAUAAGCCUGGGAAACCGGGUCUAAUACUGGAUAUGACUCCAUGACGCAUGUUGUGGGGUGGAAAGCCUUGUGCGGCUGAGGAUGGGCCCGCGGCCCAUCAGCUUGUUGGUGGGGUGANGGCCUACCAAGGCGACGACGGGUAGCCGGCCUGAGAGGGCGACCGGCCACACUGGGACUGAGACACGGCCCAGACUCCUACGGGAGGCAGCAGUGGGGAAUCUUGCGCAAUGGGCGAAAGCCUGACGCAGCGACGCCGCGUGAGGGAUGACGGCCUGGUU
Molecule: ribosomal RNA, 392 nt
Filed under: uncultured bacterium
Lineage: Bacteria
Description: bacterial SSU rRNA
Rfam family: Bacterial small subunit ribosomal RNA
Source: RNAcentral